UACAGAGGUCUCAAGCGUUGUUCGGAUUCAUUGGGCGUAAAGGGUGCGUAGGUGGCGCCGUAAGUCAGGUGUGAAAUCUCGGGGCUUAACUCCGAAACUGCAUUUGAUACUGCGGUGCUUGAGGACUGGAGAGGAGACUGGAAUUUACGGUGUAGCAGUGAAAUGCGUAGAUAUGCGGAGGAACACCGAUGGCGAAGGCAAUCCCCUGGGCCUGCACUGACGCUCAUGCACGAAAGCGUGGGGAGCAAACAGG
This 253-nucleotide ribosomal RNA is filed under the name uncultured bacterium. Its description in RNAcentral is "partial 16S ribosomal RNA". It matches the Rfam family "Bacterial small subunit ribosomal RNA", at positions 524 to 776 of the family's 1533-position model. The record is from RNAcentral.